UGUUAGCGUGCAUUCCCGUGAAAACGGGAUUUCCUUCGGGACCCGCUACAAGGUGCUGCAUGGUUGUCGUCAGCUCGUGCCGUGAGGUGUCGGGUUAAGUCCCAUAACGAGCGCAACCCCUAUCUUUAGUUGCCAAUCCCGGUUUAACCGGGAGGGACUCUAAAGAAACUGCCCGCGCAAGCGGUGAGGAAGGCGGGGAUGACGUCAAAUCAGCACGGCCCUUAUGUCCGGGGCUACACACGUGCUACAAUGGCCGGUACAGUGGGCAGCUCAUGCGCGAGCAUUUGCUAAUCUCUAAAACCGGUCUCAGUCCGGAUCGGAGUCUGCAACCCGACUCCGUGAAGCUGGAUUCGCUAGUAAUCGCACAUCAGCCAUGGUGCGGUGAAUACGUUCCCGGGCCUUGUACACACCUCCC
Molecule: ribosomal RNA, 415 nt
Filed under: uncultured bacterium
Lineage: Bacteria
Description: bacterial SSU rRNA
Rfam family: Bacterial small subunit ribosomal RNA
Source: RNAcentral